AAGUCGUAACAAGGUAUCCGUAGGUGAACCUGCGGAUGGAUCAUUACCAAUUUAUAUAUAUGUUAGUUUGUAUACCGCUGUCAAAGGGGGUUAUACACAACUACUAUGUAAACGUUGAACUAGAUCAAUUGGUGUGGAUUGCUUGGGAAUGGACGAAGCGAUGAGCCUCUUCCGGACAGGCAAGCCCCACACUGAUAACCUUUUUCAUAUCAUUUACUCGUAUAUACUACCACAACAACAAAAAACAAAAGCUAUAAUAGGACUUAUUAACGGCUGAGUGGGUAACAUCCUCGGCUUAAACAUAUAACUAUUACAACUUUCAGCAAUGGAUCUCUAGGCUCUC
This 343-nucleotide unclassified non-coding RNA is filed under the name Ramicandelaber sp. Its description in RNAcentral is "partial internal transcribed spacer region". The stretch from base 1 to 46 matches the Rfam family "Eukaryotic small subunit ribosomal RNA", at positions 1786 to 1831 of the family's 1831-position model. The record is from RNAcentral. Lineage: Eukaryota; Fungi; Kickxellomycota; Ramicandelaberales; Ramicandelaberaceae.